GACGAACGCUGGCGGCGUGCUUAACACAUGCAAGUCGAACGGACAGGCCCCUUUGUUGGUCCUCGAAUGUCGAACGCGGGCGUAACACUUGAGUAACCUGCCCUUGACUUCGGGAUAACUUCAGGUAACUGAGGCUAAUACCGGUUAGGGAUCCUUGCUUCAUGGGGGUGGUUGGAAAGCUUCGGCGGGUUUUGAUGUACUCGCGGCUUAUCUGCUUGUUGGUGGGGUUGUGGCUUACCAAGGCGUUGACGGGUAGCCGGCCUGCGGGGGCGACCGGCCACAUUAGGACUGAGAUGCGGCCCAGACUCCGAAGGGAGGCAGCAGUGGGGAAUAUUGCACGAUGGGCGGAAGCCUGAUGCAGCAAGGCCGCGGGCGGGAUGACGGCUUUCGGGUGGGAAACCGCUUUCAGCAGGGGAGAAGCUUGUGGUGACGGUACCUGCAGAAGAAGCACCGGCUAACUACGUG
This 465-nucleotide ribosomal RNA is filed under the name uncultured bacterium. RNAcentral's name for it is "partial 16S ribosomal RNA". It matches the Rfam family "Bacterial small subunit ribosomal RNA", at positions 28 to 507 of the family's 1533-position model. The record is from RNAcentral.